UUAGUUCAUCGAAUUUCAAUUCAGUGGAACCAGAGCGAAUCUUUGCUCCUGAAACUUAACCAGACAAACAUUCAACUCUCACCAUGAAUAACUUAUCAUUCGUUUGCGGAACCUUGCUCAUCGGCAUCAUAUCGGCCAAUCUCAACCCAGUUUAUGGCCAGGACCCAUCAGACAAUAACCCCUCUCUAAGCUGUGUUCUUUUCAAAGAACUCGGUUGCGACGUUCAAUGCACAUUCAUGGCAAAACUGCAAAACUCCCCUCAAACUUUAGCAUCCUGCAACGAUGAACAAAAAUGCACCUGUACAGCCGAACCUGAAUCCCUUGACACCUUAUGGAAUAAGAAAUUCGAUGCGGAUGAUGUGCUCAGACAAAUCAAAGUAAAUAGAAAACUUGCCGAAAAAGUUACUCAAGUAUUAUAAAAUGCAUCACGAACUGCCGAGCAAUCUAAGCAAGACCUCGAGGAAAUUCUACCAAAACGCCUGCUUAGCAAAAUUUUGGUUAAACAUAAUACGAGUACAGCCGAACCAGAAUCUCUGGACGACUUGUGGAAUAAGAAAUUCGAUGCGGAUGAUGUGCUGAGACAAAUCAAAGUGAAUAGAAAACUUGCCCAAAAAGUUACUCAAGUAUUAAAAAAUGCAUCUCGAACUGCCGAGCAAUCUAAGCAAGACCUAGAGGAAAUUCUACCAAAACGCCUGCUCAGCAAAAUUUGGGUUGUUAAACAAUAUGAUACGAGUACAACCGAAGCGGAUGUAGAAUCUAUAAAGAAACUUGUCAACAAAGAACUGUCAUCGGUACUGUCAAAUUCUCCUGAAUUCGACUCCACCAAUCUGAAAUGCUUGCAUUGGGUGCAUAAUUUCUUCGUAUACUUGAAUGCUCAUAAACAAAGUGCCAGCAUCCAAAGCAUUUAUCAUCAAGUUGAUCUAACUGGUAAUGAACUUUUGAAAGAAAAACUUGGGUUCUUUUUGAAGAAGAAUGACGCUCCAAAGAUAGAUACAACGAUAAAGUACGAACAGGAUAAUACUGUUUCUCAAAUUGUCGCCAACAUGGUGGUUGAUGGAAUGAUCAAGGAACUCGGUAUUCCCAAGUGUUUCGUCAGGUCCUAAUAAAUAUAUUUUUUGAUACCAGCAUCGAUUAAUGUUUUACCUUAUCAUACAAUUAUUUUUUAGAUAGCCUUAUGCCAGCAUGAAAAUUUAAAAUAAAAUCACUUCGUAGCAUUG
Molecule: long non-coding RNA, 1217 nt
Organism: Planococcus citri (citrus mealybug)
Lineage: Eukaryota; Metazoa; Arthropoda; Insecta; Hemiptera; Pseudococcidae
Exons: 3
Source: RefSeq, a predicted model, not a curated record